GGGGAUUUAGCUUAGCGGCAAAAGCGCUUGCCUUGAAAGCAGGCAGUCGUGAAUUUGAUCCCUG
RNAcentral lists this transfer RNA (64 nucleotides) under Cavia porcellus (domestic guinea pig). It matches the Rfam family "tRNA". From Rfam's summary of the family: Transfer RNA (tRNA) molecules are approximately 80 nucleotides in length. Their secondary structure includes four short double-helical elements and three loops (D, anti-codon, and T loops). The record is from Rfam by way of RNAcentral. Lineage: Eukaryota; Metazoa; Chordata; Mammalia; Rodentia; Caviidae.